Molecule: long non-coding RNA, 1610 nt
Organism: Scleropages formosus (Asian bonytongue)
Lineage: Eukaryota; Metazoa; Chordata; Actinopteri; Osteoglossiformes; Osteoglossidae
Source: Ensembl
UGGGAGCGGUUGUUGUGGGGACUGUGAAGUGUUGGUAAUCAAUCCAUCGAUCGACGAGGCAGCCUGUGAAAGCCAAGACUCGGGGAGCCCGGCAAAGCUCGUGAGCCUCCACCUGGACCCGCCCGCCACAGUACUGAAUGGCCCAGACGAGUGGCACCCAAGCGGUAUACGACCAUCCGCCCUCCACCCAGGCUCGACGGUCGCUUGCGUUUCACCAACGAGGUGGACCCCCACCUCGUUCCACCUCCAAUUUGUGCUCCUUUUCAUUGCAACCAUCAUGACUCUGCUGAACACAGUGCUGCGUUCCACAGUCCAUCCUGGGAAUGCCACGGGCAGGACGCUAAUUUGUCGGCGGACUUGUAUUUCAUCUUCGACUGCAUCAGAACAGUACGGCCCGUUUCAUUUUAUUUGCUGGGUAAGUUCUGUGAAAGCCUCUGAUGUAGCUAUGAUACCUUUCAAAAAAAUUGAACUUUUAUUAAAUUCGAGCUGCAUUGCGAUUACAACUAAUUUGUGGAAAAACUUCGACUCGCCACUUCGUAACCUCAAGAGCCAGUGUGCAAACUCUCAGAUGAUAAUAGCUCCACAUGGUCCGUUUUUUCCAGAAAUACACAAUACCAGAAUAAUGGAGAAAAGCAUCUGCCAAAUAAAUACGUGUAAAUGUAAAUAGUGAAAAGGUGACGAAUGAUAUGUGACAGAUGAUCAGGCCACUGCGAGGCAAACUUCCCGCACAUCCCGCGACAGGACUUAACAUUUCUUUUCAUCACUACAUUUUUUUUUUUUUUAAAACUUAUUUUUAUCCAAUCUUUUUUGGUCCCUCAGCUGACCACGAGCACUCGUCAUCCCACCAGGACCCCCGUCACUCAUUUCCCAGGCUAUUUGCAGGGAGGGGGCACUUCCGCAGGUGUCGCAAGUCACAGACUCGACGAACGUCCCUCCGGGGACUAUUCGGCCGCCUGCGAAGGGACGUUCGUCGAGCAGCCGAAUAGUCACCGCAGAGCCCUUUGGACGUUGGGCUCCUGCCGCUAAUGCAAAGGUGUCGAACGGGGGUGCAGAACGGCCCACGGCGCCGCGAUCGGAUCAACGCUCGAGGCCAGAGGUACAAAUCCUACAUGCUGUCGCGGACACCUAUACUUAGCAGGAGACAAAAGUCAUAGGUAUGAAUGAGCUGAGAAACGGCCCCCAUGCAUCGCUCGGUACAGCUUUACUUGUGUUGUCGGCGGGGGGGGGGGGGCACAUAUAUUAUCCCAGCUGUAUACUGAGAAGCCGUCAGUAAGUGAACAUUCAUUUACUGAUGGCUUCUCAGUAUACAGCUAGGAUAAUAUAUAUAUAUAUAUAUAUAUAUACACACACACACACAUACACCACUCGGGGCAAUUCUUUCCCCUCAUCGCAUUUAUGGGUAGUAUUUACAUUUGCUAACCGCUUAUUAAAUAUUUACAAUUCUUUAUUAGCAUUUCGUUAUGCAGAAAACAUGACACUCGCUGCUUACUUGCAAACACACUGAGCACAUUUUGGAGUAGGAGGUUGGGCCUGCUGUAUUUGGUGCACCUUAAUCCCUUCGGGAACAAACAUUUCUGGGCCAAUAAACCGUUCUACAGUUAUUAAUUUCA